Molecule: ribosomal RNA, 467 nt
Filed under: uncultured bacterium
Lineage: Bacteria
Description: partial 16S ribosomal RNA
Rfam family: Bacterial small subunit ribosomal RNA
Source: RNAcentral
GACGAACGCUGGCGGCGUGCUUAACACAUGCAAGUCGAACGGAAAGGCCCUGCUUUUGUGGGGUGCUCGAGUGGCGAACGGGUGAGUAACACGUGAGUAACCUGCCCUUGACUUUGGGAUAACUUCAGGAAACUGGGGCUAAUACCGGAUAGGAGCUCCUGCUGCAUGGUGGGGGUUGGAAGUUUCGGCGGUUGGGGAUGGACUCGCGGCUUAUCAGCUUGUUGGUGGGGUAGUGGCUUACCAAGGCUUUGACGGGUAGCCGGCCUGAGAGGGUGACCGGCCACAAUGGGACUGAGAUACGGCCCAGACGGCUACGGGAGGCAGCAGUGGGGAAUAUUGCACAAUGGGCGGGAGCCUGAUGCAGCAACGCCGCGUGCGGGAUGACGGCCUGCGGGUAGUAAACCGCUUUCGCCUGUGACGAAGCGUGAGUGACGGUAAUGGGUAAAGAAGCACCGGCUAACUACGUG